UUUAUUUAUUCGGAGUUAUUUAUUCAGUGGCCGAAUACAUGUGGUUGCAAUGGUUGUAGCGUUAUUGCGUUGUAACAUGUUUGUGGGUGUGGUGUGUUCGUGUGUGUCAUACGUACUGGUCGCAUCAUUGGUAGUGACGGCAAGUGGAUGUGAAAGUAGUAGUUCUACGUUAUGUGUGUCAGAUGCCUUGCACUCUUUUUCCUUUUUUGUUGUUUGCGUCGAAGAACUCGCAGUCACGUUGUGCGUACAUUCCUCGUUGACGUGAUCGUGAGCUACGAACAGUACUGAAUCACUAGUGUCCACGUGCCAGCUGAUUGGUAAUGGGGUCUAACCAGUUAAAUGCCCCAAGGUGAUCCAGCUGGUUGCAGGGGUUAGCAAAAAGAUGCGGCGUGCCUCAUCUGGCAAAGUCGAUGCGUCUUAUUGUGCUCUGCACAGUCGAUCUGGUGUCGCUUGCGCAGUGCGCUUGUUAUGUGGUCCGGUUUAGGAGUUUAAUUUGUGAACUGCUGCCGCUUUUUACCUAACAGCGUUCAUCGUUCUGUUCAACGGCGUUGUUUUGUUGCGUGGUAGGUGCCAAGACAAGGAAAGCAGCGCUAGCUCGUGAGAAAAGGCAGAGGAUUCGAGCGGCGAAAGUUUCAACGUAGAAAAGCCCCUUCUUGACAAUCCACUAAGACAUGGAGCAUGGUCAACUUCUACCACAGGUUGGAGAUGCAGAACCAGCAGCAAGUAACGCAUUUCUCGGCUCAAAGAGGUUGGCAUCAAAGAGUUUUUCUGCCAGCAGGGAGACACUCUUGAGGGUAAAUGCCAUCGCGAUGACAGACAUUCUCCUGCCGUCCUGGGCAACGAGCCGUUCAUUUGCCAACCGCAGCUCCAUCAGUUCUUGGCCAGCAGCCUCCAUGACCUCUCUUUGG
This is a long non-coding RNA of Rhipicephalus sanguineus (brown dog tick), 908 nucleotides long. RefSeq lists it as uncharacterized. The transcript has 3 exons. Lineage: Eukaryota; Metazoa; Arthropoda; Arachnida; Ixodida; Ixodidae. The record is from RefSeq and is a predicted model, not a curated record.